RNAcentral lists this long non-coding RNA (314 nucleotides) under Homo sapiens (human). Its description in RNAcentral is "HSALNT0320756". The record is from RNAcentral. Lineage: Eukaryota; Metazoa; Chordata; Mammalia; Primates; Hominidae.
GGCCAAUUAUUUUUUGUAGAGGAGCUCUUUCUGGAUCUUUGAAUGAUUCUUUUAAAAACAUACAGUAUUACCUGGGCAUGAUGGCUUGUACCUUUAAUCACAGCUACUCAGGAGGCUGAGGUGAGAAGAUCACUUAAGCCCAGGAGUUUGAGGUAGCAGUGAGCUAUGAGCAUCACUGCACUCCAGCCUGGGCAAUAUAUAAUACACACACACACACACACACACACGCAUACACACACAAUAUUAUGUUAUGUUACCUAGCAUACAAUAUCUUCUCUCAUCUCUUUGAAGGUGACAGUGAUACUUUAUUUACU